GAUCAUGGCUCAGAACGAACGCUGGCGGCAUGCCUAACACAUGCAAGUCGAACGAAGCCUUCGGGCUUGGUGGCGCACGGGUGCGUAACGCGUGGGAAUCUGCCCUUGGGUUCGGAAUAACAGUUAGAAAUGACUGCUAAUACCGAAUGAUGUCUUCGGACCAAAGAUUUAUCGCCCAAGGAUGAGCCCGCGUCGGAUUAGCUAGUUGGUGAGGUAAAAGGCUCACCAAGGCGACGAUCCGUAGCUGGUCUGAGAGGAUGAUCAGCCACACUGUGACUGAGACACGGCCCAGACUCCUACGGGAGGCAGCAGUGGGGAAUAUUGGACAAUGGGCGAAAGCCUGAUCCAGCAAUGCCGCGUGAGUGAUGAAGGCCUUAGGGUUGUAAAGCUCUUUUACCCGGGAUGAUAAUGACAGUACCGGGAGAAUAAGCCCCGGCUAACUCCGUG
Molecule: ribosomal RNA, 447 nt
Filed under: uncultured bacterium
Lineage: Bacteria
Description: bacterial SSU rRNA
Rfam family: Bacterial small subunit ribosomal RNA
Source: RNAcentral